CCAAUAGCGUAUAUUAAAGUUGUUGCAGUUAAAAAGCUCGUAGUUGAAUUUCGGGGUUAGUAAGUUGGUCAUGCCUUUGGUAUGUACUGGCUUUACUGAUUCCUCCUUCUUGACGAACUGUAAUGUCAUUAAUUUGGUGUUGCAAGGAAUCAGGACUGUUACUUUGAAAAAAUUAGAGUGUUUAAAGCAGGCUUAAGCUUGAAUACAUUAGCAUGGAAUAAUGAAAUAGGACGUUAAUCCUAUUUUGUUGGUUUCUAGGAUCAACGUAAUGAUUAAUAGGGAUAGUUGGGGGCAUUAGUAUUCAAUUGUCAGAGGUGAAAUUCUUGGAUUUAUUGAAGACUAACUACUGCGAAAGCAUUUGCCAAGGAUGUUUUCAUUAAUCAAGAACGAAAGUUAGGGGAUCGAAGACGAUCAGAUACCGUCGUAGUCUUAACCAUAAACUAUGCCGACUAGGGGUCGGAUGAUGUUAAUUUUUUAAACAAUUCA
Molecule: ribosomal RNA, 486 nt
Filed under: uncultured Glomeromycotina
Lineage: Eukaryota; Fungi; Glomeromycota
Description: SSU rRNA
Rfam family: Eukaryotic small subunit ribosomal RNA
Source: RNAcentral